This 70-nucleotide transfer RNA is filed under the name Macroglossus sobrinus. Its description in RNAcentral is "tRNA-Trp". Lineage: Eukaryota; Metazoa; Chordata; Mammalia; Chiroptera; Pteropodidae. The record is from RNAcentral.
AGAAGCUUAGGUUAAACAUUAGACCAAGAGCCUUCAAAGCUCUAAGUAAAUGUAGUACAUUUAGCUCCUG